CUGAGGUGGGAGGAUUGCUUGAGCCUAGGAGGUUGAGGCUAGAGUGAGCCAUGGUCACACCACUGCACACUAGCCUGGGUAACAGAUUGAGACCUUGUUUCAGAAAACAAAACAAACAGAUCUACAAAGAUCAACCUGUCUUAAGUCAGUCAUAUAAUCUCUUUGUAUAAUAACUCAAAAUACCAUCUUCUCACCUCAAACCUGGUGCUUUUUUUUUUUUUUUAACAAAAUAUGUUCUGUCCAAAUUAUUUUGUUAUUUUGAUUCCUAAAAUAGAAAUAGAAACUAAGAAAAAUAAAAAGCAACUCCUUUAUAAUAUAUGAGGACUUUUUCAGUUUCAAAUCAGAAAAACCCAACUCAGAGUACCUUAAACAAAAGGAGACAUUUAUUCACUUACAUAACCUAAAAGCUCUGACCUGGAUUCAGGUGCUCAACAGAUCUCAAGAAUAUUUCUCUUUUUCUCUCUCCCUUCCUUACCCUCCUCCUCUUUUCUCUCUUCUAUAUGUAUGUUAUUUUCAAACACGCUCCCACAAGUAGUGGCAAUAUAUAGUUCCUAAUAGCUUCAGGUUUACAUUCUGCCUACUUUACCAACUAUGAUGGGAAGAGAGCUACAAUUGGAGCAAAAAUUUUUAGGGUGAGUUCUGAUUUCCCUGGAUUGAGGCACAUGCCUAUUCCCGAACCAAAUAUUCUGGCCAGGGAAUGGAAUUCUCUGGGACAUGUGUCUAAAGCUGAUGUAUAGAACCUGCCACCCCCAACACAGGGAUAAUAAUAGUUUUCCAAAGAAAAGUCAAGGAGGAGAAAGAAUGUUGGAAGAGAGAAAAGUAUCAGUUGUCUGUUUCAUAUUUUUUCUCAACAAUUCUGUAGAUCAUCUACAACUAUUUAGUGUAUAGCUUACGAUAUCAUAGAACUGAAAUACUGUAACACUCUAAACUUUAGAUUAUUUGUAGACAGGAAAAAUAAGAGAUCAAAGAAGCUGUGACUUUAUUCAAAUCACAUAGUUUCAAAUCACAUAGUUUGUAUACAUGCUGUUAAUAAAACCCGGGAUACCCGAGUACAAGUUUUAGCCUUAUAUUCACAUUGAGGUCCAGUUCCUGGUUUUGAAUGAGAUAAUUAUGCAUAGUGGGACUGUUUUCUGAUCCACAAAAUAGAGAUGAUAAUAUUUAUCUUGUAAAGUUGUGGUAGUAUUAAAGAUACGUAUAAAUGUUGGCAGGUACCUUAAUAGAUGGUAACUACUGCUGUAUGUUGUCAUUGUAAUAAAAGCCGUAUUUCUUCCUUUGUUGAAUUGCUUCCCUUUAGUAAUCUUAUUGUGAUCAUUCUGAAACACAGAUUUCCGUUGCUUCUUCAAGCAAACACCAUUAUGUUGAAACAUCUGCAUUAUUUCUAAGUUUAGCAGUACCAGUGGAAAGUUUACUGAAGUAGAAAAUUACUUUUUUAACUAAGGAGUGUAGAUUGUGAAUUCAUCUUAGAGAAGAUGAUCUGAAUAUUGAUGCCUAGAAUAUGAACAAAACAUUACAUAUCUUGUGCUAUGAUAUUAAAGUAGUAUCCUGUUCUGGUAGUAGUAUGGCAGUAUCUUAGGUCUGAAAGAUGUAUAUAAUCUGUACUUUAAAGUCUGUUUUUUAAGAGAUUAAUCACAAGAGAUUUACAUAAAACAAGUAAGAUUAAAAAUAAAUGGUGGAUUAGAGAUACAUCAGGCAAAUUUAAAUUUCAAAAGCAGAUGACAGGGUCUCAAUAUCAGAAUAGCGUUUAAAGCAAAAAGCAUUAAACUGGAUCAAAAAUGUUAUUUUACAUUACACGGGGUCCACUCCAGGUGAAAACUUAGCAGUUAUGAACCAAUGUGCUAAGCAUAACAUCAAAAUGUAUUAAGCAAAAGCUGAAAGAAAUGAAGAAUAGUUGGUAGAAAAGCAGUGAUAGGAAUUUUUAAUGUACUUCAAAACUCAAAAAGAAGGUACAGUCAUGUACCACAUAAUGAUGUUUGAGUCAGCAUCUGACCUCAUAUGUGACAAUGGUCCUAUAAAAUUAUAAUGGAACUAAAAAGUUGCUAUCACCUGGUGACGUAGCCAUUGCAGUGCAAUGUAUUCACUCAUGUUUGUGGUAGUGCUGGUGUAAGCAAACUUGCUGUGCUGUCAGUUGUAUAAAAAGCAUAGCACAGACAGUUAUGUUCAGUACGUAAUACUUUAUAAUGUUAAACAAAUGCUACUAGUCUACAUGUUUAUAGUACUAUACUUUUUUAUUAUUUUAGCAUGUACUCCUGCUUGUUUAAAAAAUGUUAACUAUAAAACAUUCUUUAAGCAGAUCCUUCAGGUGGUAUUCCAGAAAAAGGCGUUAUUGUCAUAGGAGAUAGCAGUUCCACGGGUGUAAUUGCCCCAUAAGACCUUCCAGUGGGACAAGAUGUAUAGGUGGAAGACAGUGAUAUUGAUGAACCUGACCUUGUAGAAACCAAGGCUAAAGUGUGUGUGUAUUUAUUAGUUUUUAACAAGAGUUUAUAAACAAUAAUAAUAAAUUUAAAAAUAGAAAAAAGCUUAUAGAAUAAGGAUAUAAAGAAAAAAAUUUUGUGUAGCCGUGCAAUGUGUUUUAAGCUAAGUGUUAGAAAAGAGUCAGAAUUAAUUUUUUGUGUUUAUAAAAUGAAACAGUUAUAAAAUGCUAAGGUUAAUUUAUCAAAGAAAGAAAAAAAAUUUUUUUUAAUAAAUUUAGAGUAGCAUGUUUAUAAAAUCUACAGUAGUAUACAGUAAUAUCCUAGGACUUUACAUUAACUCACCACUCACCCAGGGCAACUUCCAGUCUUUCAAGCUCCAUUUGUGGUAAGUGCCCUAAACAGGUUUACUAUUUUUAUAUCCUUUAUACCAUUUUUACUGAACCUUUUCUAUGUUAGAUACACAAAUACCAUUGUGUUACAGUCACCUAUGAUACUGAAUUCAGCAAUAUGCUGUAUGGGUUUGUAAAGUAGGAAGUGUAACAUAAUAGCCUAGGUGUGUAGUGAGCUAUACCAUCUAGGUUUGUGUAAGUAUAUUGUAUGAUACAAUGAUGAAAUCACCCAGAUGCAGUUUCUUUUAAGCAACACAAUACUGUAUAUAGGUGGCUUGAAUAAUAAAAUAAUGAAAUGUAUUUUUUCUGUCAUUCAUAAAACAGUUACCAAUCUUACGAAUUAGAUCAACUACAAAACAAAAAUCUCACUCAAAAAUCAAAAUUUAUAAGUUCUAUUUCUUGAUUACAAUUCAUUAGAACUGGAGUUUUUUUUUAAUGUUCAAAUUUAUAUGGAAAUAUAAAACCAUGUUUUAAAUAGUUUUUGAUUCAAUGAGGAAAUGUAAACUUACAUUAGAAAUUAAAAUUAAUAAGUAGAGAUUUAUAAAGGCAAAAAUGUAUCAUUUGAACUAAUAAAUCUAAAUACUGAUUGCAUGAAAUUGCCAAUAAAAUCAAUACAUAUUUUUAAGCCAGUCAAGGAAAAAAGAAAAGAGGGAAACUGAAAACAAGACAUUAAGCAUGAGAAACGAGAUAAAACUACAGUGUGGAGGUGAUGUUAAACAUUAUAUUCACGUUUGUGCUAAUCAUUUUGGAAAUUUCAAUGAGAAAUGGGCAAUUUUCAGUGAAUAUGUCAUCGUAAAUGCUUUAAGGCAAGAGAAAAAAUCUGAAUAGACCCUGCAAUAAUGAAAAUGUCUAGGAGCCCUCAAGAAAUAUUUGGUUUAAAUUGCAUUUCAGGUGGCUGCUUAUCAAACCUUGAAGUAUCAAAUAAUUAUGUUAUCUAAAUUGGACCAGGUGUUAGAAACUAUGUAAGACUUUACAGGUGGCUGCUUAUGUAGCCCUUAUACCUUAAUCUGAUAAAAUAGCUUAUAUUUAAAAAGAGAGAAAACCAGAAAGUACAAUUCAGGGAAAAUUAAUUUUUUUCCAUUUGGCCAAAGUAAGAGUACAUUCAAGGGAAUUGUGAGAGGAAAGAGUGGAAAAAGAGGUUGGAGUUAUAUUUUUAUGCUGUGAUUAAAUUAUAGUGUGUGAUAAAUUGCUCUUGUUUGGGUAGAAUACCAUUUAACAUUUUGGAUUAAUUGGCAACUGGAUUAACCUUAAUUAAAAAAAAUCUGAAAGUGGUAUAAAGGAUGGAUUACAGAAUGGAUAAAGGGUAAUAAAUCAGUUGGCUAUGGCAAAAUUGCAGGAAGAAACUGAAAGAGGCCACAGAAAACCGAAGCUGACGUUUUGAGUAGUAUUUUGAAAUCAAAAUCUGGAUUUUGUCAACUGAAUAGAUGUGUAGGAAUCAAAGAUGAGUAGACUAAAUGAACUUAAUCUUGAUUUGUCUCUCAUUUUAGUUUGUAACGUUAGUGUGUAUGCAUGUAUGUGCCAGGUAGUUAAUAUGCUGUGUCUCUUACCUCCAUUCUGCUGCCUGGGCUUUUGCCAUAGUGCUGGAGUUCCCUCACUUCUCUUUUCUGUAGCCCUGUUAUAUCACAGCUGUCUUUCAGCUAUGUUUCCUUCCUCAAGCAUAAAGAAGAUGGCAGGAUCAUAUCGUAGUUGAUUAGAAGCUGGGGAUGUAGUUGCUGACUAGUGCUGGGAUAAUAUCUACUAUAUCUGUGCAUAUAGUAAUUGACUAGUGAUAGGAUGAUACCUAGUUCCAUUACAUAUGAAGAUAAAUGACCUUACUUCAUCUAUAAAAUGUUUUAUCAAUAGUACCAUUCUUACAUGGUUUUAUGAGUAUUAAAUUAUGCAUUUCUAAAGACAUUUAGAGCAAUAUAAAGAAUAUGGUAUGGGCUCAAUAAGCGGUGGUGGUGGUAGUUAUUAGAAGGCCUUCUAGUGCUAAGAAAAUAGUGAAUAUCACUGAUGGAAAUAAAGUUUUCCACAUAAAAAAGCUUCGGUUUUUGGAAAUGUGUGUUUUAAGUAUUUCUGAGAUUACCAGGUAGAAAUUCCAGCCAGAUGUUGGAAUUAUGCACUGGCAGUUGGGAGUAAAGUCAUAUUGAGGGAGAUAAGUUUUGGAGUUAUUAUGUAAAAUUGGAUAAUUAAAGCACUGGAAUAGAUUGGAUUGACAGAGGGGAAAAUCUUUUGAGAUAUGCCUAUAUUUAGCAACAAGAGAAGAGACAACCAAUAAAGGUUGGAAGAAACCGUAAGAGAGUAAGUCCUAUGACACAAGCAGGGAAGUUUCAGAAUGGGUGGAAAAAAAUCAGCCAGGCUCUUCCUGUUCUCCAUCAUGGUGCAGGAUCAAGGUGAAAAGGAGAACCCCAUGCAGAAACUUUGCAUGUGCAGACUCUGCCUCAACAUAUUUUUAGGAGAAACUGGAGGCAGACUGACUUGAGUAACCAAGGUGUUGGAGCAGCUCACAGAUCAGAACCCUUCGUGUUUGCCAAAGCUAGGUGUACUGUUAGAUCCUUUGGCAACAGGAGAAAUGGAAAGACUGCCGUCUGCUAAACAAUUCGAGGAGCCAAGGCAGAAGAAAUCCGGGAGAAAGGUCUAAAGGUGCAGGAGUGUGAAUUAAGAAAAAAUAACUUCUCAGAUACUGGGAACUUUGGCUUUGGGAUCUAAGAACACAUCGAUUUGGGUAUCAAAUAUGACCCAAGCAUUGGUAUCUACAGCCUGGACUUCUGUGUGGUGCUGGAUAAGCCAGGUUUCAUCAUUGCAAAUAAGUGCAGGACAGGCUGCACUGGAGCCAAACAGAAUCAAUAAAGAGGAGGCCAUGUGCUGAUUCCAGCAGAAGUAUGGUGGGAUCAUCCUUCCUAGCAAAUAAAUUCUCAUUUCUACCCAAGAGGCCAAUACAAAGUGUUCAGUGAAAUGUUUAAAAAAAAAAAAAAAAAAAUCAGCCAGCAGCCAGGAUUGGACUGUGAAAACAGUAGAAAAUUAGUUGUUGAGAAAGCAUUAAUGACCAUUAAGAAAUCAGCCUCAGGUGGGCGUGGUGGCUUAUACCUGUAAUCCCAAUACAUUGGGAGGCUGAGGCAGAUUUCUUGAGUCCAGGAGUUUGAGGGCAGCCUGGGCAACAUGGCAAAACGCUCAUUUCUACUAAGUAAAUAGAUAACCUUCAUUUCUACUAAAUAAAUAAGCAGACAAGCAGGGCUUGGUGUUAAUGCUCCUAUACUCCCAGCUACUCAGGAGGCUGAGGCAGUUGAACCUGGGAGGCAGAGGUUGCAGUGAACCAAGAUUGCACUACUGCACUGCAGCCUGGGUGACAAAGUAAGACUAUGGCACACCUCUACCCUCCAAAAAGAAAUCAGCCUCAUAAUAACCAGUUUCUCUGGAUUAAGGAGUAAGAGCUUCUCAAGAAUUGCUAUUUAUAGAGAGGGAGGCUGAUAGUUUGAGAGAGAUACAGAAUCUAGGGAGAGUGUGGGUUUUUGGUCUUUCAGUUUUUUGUCAGCUCUGGAUAAAGAAUAAAGAUUACCUGAGCAUAUUAUUUAGAGACAGAUGGAGAGAAUAAAGGCACAUGGCAGAUAGGAGAUAAUUAAUAAAGCACUUGCCCACAAUAGACCCUCAUUGAACAGGAAAAGACAUCAAGCAUGAAGAGAUUUUAAGAUGGGAGAAGGGAAUUUUGAGUGUUCAUGUUGGAUGAUCUCAGGGUUCCCAGUAAAAUAGGAGCUGAAUUCAUUGAAGAUGUUGUGUUGGUCAGGAUAAAAAUUGAGGUUGGGAGAACAAAGUGCUAAAAAUCAUUGUGGUCAAGAGUUUAAUAAAUGUAUACCCGAAGAGUUAUUGAGUGAUACGGGUUUGAAAUAGGCAAAGGUAUAGGAAAGAGGGCUGGAAGGAAUAUUAGGAGGAGCACUAAAUGGAAUACUUUUGAGGUCCACCUCCUGGUCUGUGAACAUAAAGGAGUUGAAAGAGUAAUGGCUGACUUUUGAGAUGAUGGCCAGGAAUGUGGUGCUAACUUUAGCUAAAGUUAGAAUGUGUUUAAAGUUGUAUUUGAGCAAAAAAGGUUAAGGAUACAGUUGACUUUGAUAAUGUGAAAGCUAGGAAUGUCAACCCCCUGCACAGUUGAAAAUCUGCAUAUAACUUUUGAGUCCCUAAAAACUUAACUACUAAUAGCCCACUGUUGACCAGAAGCCUUACCCAUAACAUAAACAGUCAAUAACACAUAUUUUGUAUAUAUAUUCUUACAAUAAACUAGACAAAAGAACAUGUAUUAAGGAAAUCAUAAGGAAGAGAAAAUACAUUUACAGUACUGUACUGUAUUUAUUGGUACCAUACAUUUAUGUCUUCUGUUUACAAGGUGAAGCAUCUGUCUGAAAUGGCCAGCAGCUACAGCUGUACAUAUCUACUGUACAUAUCAAGCAAGUCAACUUAUUCUUGUAAUGUCAUGACUUUUGUCUACUUCUUGAGAGCACUUCCAUCACCACUAUUGGCACCUCAUAUGGGUCUCAGGGUGUUACGGUUUACAGAGUUGCACUAAACACAAUGAAAAAUACACAAAGAACCAUAAGAGAGAUAGCUUUUUAUUGCAAUAUACAAUUUACUGGAGAGAUGAGCUGCUCAUACAGAGAUGAUUAGUGUCACACAGUGCUUUAAACAGAUUCUUGCAACCCUUGAGCUCAUUGCAGUAGCCACAGAAGGUAUCUAUGAGAUUUUAACGGUAGUACAGCAUGUACUACAGUUAAUAUUAUGUAGCUAUGAUUUAAUGCUGCAUCUUUGCAUUUGUUUACAUGGUAUCAUGUCUGGUCUUAAAAAUUCUAUGCAUAUGUUAUAAUGCAUUUUAACUUUUUAUAAUAGACUUGUAUAUAUCUUAUGAUAGUAAGUGAUAAAACAGACUGAUAAUCUACUUAUAUUUUACAUAUUCAUGACAUAGACCUAACUUUUUCUUAAUUUUUUAAAUAUUUCUAGGCUAUGUGUUUCAUCUGCAGGUUUUAUAAAAUUGUUGCAAAUCUCUGAAAAAUUAUUGAAAAAAAUCCAGAUUUAUAUAUAUAUAUAUAUAUAUAUAUAUAUAUAUAUAUA
This is an RNA transcript of Sapajus apella (tufted capuchin), 7873 nucleotides long. It is a transcript of the gene named 60S ribosomal protein L11-like, with no coding region annotated. Lineage: Eukaryota; Metazoa; Chordata; Mammalia; Primates; Cebidae. The record is from RefSeq and is a predicted model, not a curated record. The transcript has a single exon.